RNA transcript from Podarcis raffonei (Aeolian wall lizard), 2575 nucleotides. It is a transcript of the gene named A-kinase anchoring protein 8, with no coding region annotated. NCBI's taxonomy places the organism in Eukaryota, Metazoa, Chordata, Lepidosauria, Squamata, Lacertidae. The record is from RefSeq and is a predicted model, not a curated record. The transcript is spliced from 15 exons.
AGAGGAGCCAAUCCGCGGUGGGCUCCAACGCUCGCGCAGUGAGGGUAUAGGUUACUCUGCGUGAUCGCAGGUUGACGGAGAGGGAAGCCAUGGAUCAGGGCUAUGGUUAUAGUUCCUGGGGUACUGAGGCCACCAGUACUCAAGGUGGCUAUUCAACAAAUCCAGCAAGUUGGCAAGGCUAUGAAGGCUAUGAUUAUUACAGUGCCCAAACCAGCAGCUCUACUACAGCUGCCCCAUAUAACUAUGAUGCUGCCAGUGUUGCUGCAACUACCUGGGACGCUCCUAAAGCUACCGACAUGACAAUGAGUGCUGAGAUGGGCUCUCGCAUGCCAGUUGUAAAUUAUGGUAGUGGGGCAGUGGGCACAGAAAACUCUGACUCCAUUAUAGCAAAAAUAAACCAGCGUCUGGAUAUGCUGUCAAAGGAAGGCAGUGGUGGUCCUGGGGAAGGCAUGGAAGAUCAGGGAAGCUCUUUCAGAUUUGAGUCUUAUGAGUCCUAUGACUCUAGAGCAUCAGUGCCUGAUCGUGACCUGUACAGAACCAGCUAUGACUAUAAUGAAGUUGGAUCAGAUCGGAAUGAUUCUUUUGGAAGCCGCUAUGAUGAUGUUGGUGACCGCAGAGAUCAGCCCCGCAACAGAGGAAACAACUAUGGCUUUGCCAGAGGGAGGGCCCAGAAUCGAGGGCACCUAAACACUUUCAAUCGUGAUCACUUCAUGCCAUCAAGUACAGAACGGAUGUCUGCACAAUGGAAUGAGAUGAAUUACAUGGGUGGAAGGAAUAUGGAAGGACCUGGACCCAACCGGCUUCCAUCACUAUUUUCCCAAGCACUCGUCCCAGAGUAUAGAGAUUAUGAUGAUUAUGGAGACUACAGAGACUAUGGCAACUAUGGGGAUUAUGAUUACGGCAUGAUGGGAAUGCAAGGAAUGGGAAUGGGAAGGUUUCCUGGGAACAUGCCCUAUGGCUUCAACAGAUCACGUGGCAGACCAAAGAGAAGACCAUUCCGUGGUCGUUUUGGUGGGCAUUCAGAUUUUGAAAGUGGAUUACGCAAACGGAAACAUUCCCAAAGUGGAGAUGAACCAGACAGCAAACAGACAAAGACAGAAAGUGAAAGAGGUUAUUCUGACAAUGAUAAUGGUGAAGGAGAGGACAAAUCAGGAGAUGAAAGAGAUAAAGGUGAGCAUGAGAGAAGCAAUGAAGAUCGAAAGAGGAAAGCAUCUGGUGAUGGCAUUGAUGAUGAUGAUGAAGAGUCAAAACAAAGAAAAGAGAAGCAGAGGCAGAGGGAUCGAAUGCGUGAUCGUGCUAUGGACAGAAUCCAGUUUGCUUGCUCUGUAUGUAAAUUCCGAAGCUUUGAUGAUGAAGAAAUGGAGAAGCAUCUACAGAGCAAAUUUCACAAGGAGGUCCUGCGAUACAUCGGGACCAAACUGCCUGACAAGACUGUAGAAUUCCUGCAGAAAUAUAUAGUGAACAGAAAUAAGAAAAUUGGGAAGCGCCGACAAGAGCUAACGGAGAAGGAUGGUCCAAAACAAAAACCAGAUCCUUUCAAAGGAAUUGGCCAGGAGCACUUUUUUAAAAAGAUAGAUGCUGCUCAUUGUAUGGCUUGUGAUAUGCUAAUUCCUGCACAACAUCAUCUUCUCCAGAGACACCUGAGGUCUGUUGAUCACAACAGGAAUCGCAGAAUGGCAGCUGAACAUUUCAAGAAGGCUAGUUUCCACGUAGCUAAGAGUGUUCUGAAUAGCAAGCACAUUGUGAAAAUGCUAGAAAAGUACCUCAAGGAAAGCCUGCAGCCAUCUGACCAGGUGAAGACGAAAAGAAACAAGUUUGGCUGCUCCUAUACCUGGGAAUCCAGGAGCAUCCCAAGAUUCAACAGGACCCUCUCAUGGCAAGCAUAACUAAUGGGGGAGCAGAUGUUGUCAUUUCCUCUACAUGUCUGCUCUGUCCCUAUGGCAACACUUCGGUCUUAACCAGACUGAGUUUCUGCCAAUUAACUAGUCUCUGCUAGACAGACACUAGUAAAACUGAGACUCUGCUCUCUGGGUCCAGUGAAAAAAAAUAAGCUGAGCACAUCAGCUUGUAGUUGACACUGAUGGCCUAUUUACUGAGGCUGUGUUCCCCCAGCGGCCUCUCAUACACGUUGAACAAGAGGGGUGACAGAAUAAACCCUGCGUAGCUCGCAUGAGAGAGCCCUUGGGGCAGAUGAGCAGUUGCCCAGUGCCACCCUCUGGGAUCUCUCGGAGGAAAAAAUGGAACCACUCAAGCGCAACUCCGUCUACCCCUGCUAGGGUCCGCAGGUGCCUCAGCAACACCUCAUGAUCAACAGUAUCAAAGGCUGCCGACAGGUCUAACAGAAUCAGCAUGGACACCUGAACUUUGUCCAUCAGCAGGAGGAGAUCUUCGACCCACCCAGCACAGUCUCCGUACCAUACCCAGGUGCAAAACCAGGCUGAGAGGGGUGAAGGAAAUCUGAGGAUUCCAGGGUGAGGACCCAUUUACAGAUGAAAACGUUGACCAAGAUGUUGAUGACUCUGGAGCCUUAGAGGGGGCAGAAGCUGAAAAGGCUACAGAAAGUGCUGCAGUAGAG